This 265-nucleotide long non-coding RNA is filed under the name Dromaius novaehollandiae (emu). Its description in RNAcentral is "lncRNA (ENSDNVG00000007918.1)". The record is from RNAcentral. Lineage: Eukaryota; Metazoa; Chordata; Aves; Casuariiformes; Dromaiidae.
GCAGUAAUGGAUUGACCGUCCACUUGUUUUCGAGUCUAAGGAUUUAUUUUGAAUCGAAGCUCUCAAAGCAAUGAAGCUCAUUUCUAAGCUGCUGGAACUAUGCAUUUUUCUUGUAGAAGCUGGAGCAAGACUCAGUUUUUGCAAGUCUUGCCCUUUUUUCACCAUUCAAUUGGAUGGGAGCCAGGGAUCGUCAGUGCCUCACCAAACUGGAGCUAAAGCCAGGAUUUUUCGAAGGACUCAGCUCUCUGACUCUUCAGGAAGAGUC